UGGGCUCAGGGGCUGUGUGCACCAUGGCCUGGACACCUCUUCUCCUCGUGCUCCUCUCUCACUGCACAGGUUCCCUCUCCCAGCCUGUGCUGACUCAGCUGCCCUCCCUCUCUGCAUCUCCUGGAGGCACAGCCAGACUCACCUGCACCCUCAGCAGUGGCUUCAGUGUUGGCAGCUAUGUUAUAGCCUGGUGGCAGGAGAAGCCAGGGAGCCCUUCCCAGUAUCUGCUGUACUACGACACAGAUUCAUACAAGGGCCAGGGCUCUGGGGUCCCCAGCCGCUUCUCUGGAUCCAAAGACAGCUCAACUAACUCCGGUGUUCUGCAGAUCACUGGGCUGCAGCCCGAGGACGAGGCUGACUAUUACUGUGAUGCAUGGGACCGGAACUCCAAGACUUGCACAGUGUUUCAAAUGCAGCAGGAAGUGCGACAGAAACCUCCUCUCUGCUCUUCCAGUCCCAGUGCAGCCGCCCUGGCCGGUGCCUCUGACCCGCUCUAG
Non-coding RNA from Phyllostomus discolor (pale spear-nosed bat), 497 nucleotides. The record is from the annotation of a RefSeq genome assembly. Lineage: Eukaryota; Metazoa; Chordata; Mammalia; Chiroptera; Phyllostomidae.